Molecule: ribosomal RNA, 810 nt
Filed under: uncultured bacterium
Lineage: Bacteria
Description: bacterial SSU rRNA
Rfam family: Bacterial small subunit ribosomal RNA
Source: RNAcentral
GCAGAGAUAGUGGCGAACGGGUGAGUAACGCGUGGGUAACCUGCCCUGGAGACCGGGAUAACCUUCCGAAAGGAAAGCUAAUACCGGAUAUGCUCUUAGUACUGAUGGUACAAAGAGGAAAGAAUUUCGCUCCAGGAUGGGCCCGCGUCCCAUUAGCUAGUUGGUGAGGUAACAGCUCACCAAGGCCACGAUGGGUAGCCGGUCUGAGAGGAUGAACGGCCACACUGGAACUGAGACACGGUCCAGACUCCUACGGGAGGCAGCAGUGGGGAAUCUUCCGCAAUGGACGCAAGUCUGACGGAGCAACGCCGCGUGGGUGAUGAAGGUUUUCGGAUCGUAAAACCCUGUCAGGAAGGAAGAUAAUGACGGUACUUCCGAAGGAAGCCCCGGCUAACUACGUGCCAGCAGCCGCGGUAAUACGUAGGGGGCAAGCGUUGUCCGGAAUAACUGGGCGUAAAGAGCACGUAGGCGGUCUUUUAAGUCAGAUGUGAAAUAUCCCGGCUCAACCGGGAGGGUGCAUAUGAUACUGGGAGACUAGAGUGCAGGAGAGGAAAGUGGAAUUCCUAGUGUAGCGGUGAAAUGCGUAGAUAUUAGGAGGAACACCAGUGGCGAAGGCGGCUUUCUGGACUGUAACUGACGCUGAGGUGCGAAAGCCAGGGGAGCGAACGGGAUUAGAUACCCCGGUAGUCCAUGCUGUAAACGAUGAUUGCUAGGUGUGGGUGGACUGACCCCAUCCGUGCCGGAGUUAACACAAUAAGCAAUCCACCUGGGGAGUACGGCCGCAAGGUUGAAACUCAAAUGAAUUGACGG